AUCUUGAGUAGGCCCAGUUAGUGUUAAUUUUAUCAAUGAUUAUUUAAUUUACAAUUUAAAGCAGUAUUCGAAACUAAAUGUAAACAGAAAACAUGGCUUCAAUGGAGAAAAGAUUGCAAAAGGAACUACAAGCUUUGCUUAAGGACCCUCCCCAUGGUGUGAAGGUGGAUUCUCAAAGUAUAUAUAGAAAUCUCUCAGAAUGGAUUGUUGACUUGGAUGGAGCCCCUGGUACAUUGUAUGAAGGAGAAAAGUUUCAGCUUGCUUUUAAAUUUGGGUCAAGAUAUCCAUUUGACUCUCCACAAGUAAUGUUCAUCGGUGGAAACAUACCACUACAUCCACAUGUGUACAGUAAUGGCCAUAUAUGUCUGUCCAUUCUAACAGAUGAUUGGUCCCCAGCCCUAUCUGUCCAGUCUGUCUGUUUAAGCAUAGUCAGUAUGUUAUCUAGCUGUAAAGAAAAGAAAAGACCCCCAGAUGACUCUUUUUAUGUUAAAACCUGCAGCAAAAAUCCUAAGAAAACAAGAUGGUGGUAUCAUGACUUAAUUCCUGCCCAACAAAAUCUCAAGAAUCCAGGAGCUCACAGGGUCUUCAUUCCUGGGUUCCUUGCAUAGGCCCUAAUGACUGACUUAUAUGAACAAGGGAAUCAUUUUACACAUGAAGGCAUUGUUAUUGAUUGAUUGAUGUUUUCCACCACACUCAACAGUUAUUGAAACAACAGGCUAGGCUAGCAGCAUUCAGACCAGAUGACACAGUUUGACAGCAUUUACAUAAAAUACAAAACAGCAAUACAUUGGACGUGUGAAAGAAGAACACAUGGAGACGAAUUCACAGUGUUUUAGUUUUCUAUAAGUGAAGGAUUUAUCUUGUGAAUAUCAUAAGAAUAUUCAUAUUAUUUAUUGUCCUUCCACUGCCAGUGCAUUUGUUAUCAAUAGUUUUGAGUAUCUGGAAUAAGAGGGUUUUUUUUUUCUCUCCCUCAGUGCUUGCCUCAUGGUUUCAUUUUUAACUGUAAAGAUUGUUGAUAUAUGUAUGUAUGUACUGUACAUAUUUUUCUUUAGUAAAAACCAACUGUAAUUUUGCCUCUUGUCAAUGAUGAACAUCAAAUUAUUGUUUUAAUAAUUUGAUGAAUACAUGCAAUUGUUUUUUGUCAUUUUUAGUAUUGAUAAUUAUGGAGUGCCAAUUUAAUGAAUUAACAAUAAACUCAAAUAACCGAGGAUAUCAUUAAUAAAUUGAAGAUAUCAUUAAUUCAUAAUUGCAUGCAAUAAAUCAAUUACUGCAUGCUCUCAUCAAUACGCAAUUUCCGGGUUGUCCUAUAGUUAUUUCCCUUUGUUGAACUCUUACGCAUGUUGAGACGCAAACUAUCACUCGUCUAGAAGAGGAAAUAAAUAAUAAUUUCAUAUUUAAUUGAAUGGUCUCAUUCAAACACAUUUUUCUUGAUAUGGUCAGUUUAAUAUAUACUAACAGCUGAUACAUGUAUAAACAAAAUUUACGCUUUCAUCAUUAUCUACAUAACCAGCCAAUGAUAUAUAUUUUAUGUAUACAUUUUGUACCUACCCAAGCGUUCAACAGAAAACUGAAUAUACCUCCAUCACAGAAGAGCUGAUAUCUCGGAAAUUGCAUAUUGAAUUGAUGCAUUCAUCGGUUUAAUUAUUGCGUCCAUCAAUCGAAUUGUUGCUCACAAAAAUCAGUUUAAAGCUUGAUAAUAAAUGAUUUGAUGUUCUCUAUACUUCAAUUGAAUAUAGAGCAAUAAAUUAAUUAUUAAUUGAAUUGAUGCAUGCAUUAAUUUAAUUAUUGCUUCAUUUGAUUGAAUUGACAAUAGCACGCAUCAAUUUAAGCAGACCAACAAUUAAAUUUAUGCACACAAUAAUUCAGAAUUUAAGGUAUGAUUAAUUAUUUGAAUAGAUCUUUAGCGGAAUGGUUGAGCAUAUUGAAUGAAUUGAUGAUGUUUUCAAAUAAUAAUAUAUCUUCAAUUAUUUGAGUUUGUUCAUUUGGUGCACCAUAAAUAAUAAAUUGCAUAUAUUACAAUUACAUGUAUGAGUUUUCAAAAUGAGAACUAUUUCUUUAGGUGCAGGUACAUAUUUAAAAUAUAAAAGUAUCCAAAAAAUUUUUUUGAAACCUAGCUCUGGAAGAAAGUGACAUGUACAUAUUGGCCAGACAUGCAAGCUUUAAGACUGAAUACACAGUCAUGCUGGUUUGGAGCAUUCUAGAAUCAAUUCCUUUCGUGGGGGACAAUUUCAUUGUAAACAGAUUUUUUUCAAUUUUCAACGGACAUUUUGCAAAUAUUUCUAAUGAUAUGAGAUUGAUAUCAUGUAAAAGGUUUUUGUCUGUAGUUUUAAUGAUUGAAAAAAAGUACAAUACAUAUUGAUAUUGUAGAUUAGGUUUUAUCUGCUUUGCAUAUAAGCAAGGGAUAUUUUGGGAGGUGUUUAUGACUGCAUUUUAGAACUGCGCAUCAUUUAACAGAAAGAGAUUAGUUUUUACAUAUACGUUUGUAGUGCACAUUUUUUUAAAUAAUUUUGCUUUGUUUUGAAUUUAUUGUAUAAAUGCAUGCCGAGAUUUUGUUUUAUAAUUAUACCCUAGUAAACAAGGAGUUCUGGGAUACAGAGAUCUUUUGUGUUUCAUUUACUUGUUGUAUGGACCAGGUAUUUUUUUUAAAUUUUAAACGAAGUAAACAAUUCUCUUUCUGUUUAUGACAGUCCAUACCUUGUAACCAAAUAAGUGGAUUACAUACGACCCAACAGUGUAUAUACACAUUAUGACCUUGACCCUUAUCAAAUCUAAAGUUCAAAGAUACAGGUGGAUAACAAAACAAUUUAAAUUAAUAUCUUUGGCAAAUAUUUUGAAUUGUACAGAAUAAGUUGUUAAUUAUAGAUACAUUGAAUAAAGGUCAGUUAAUAUGGGUAUAUAUGUCCGAGAUUGUGAAAUUAAACCACUUUGUCUUCUCUUUUUUUUUUUUUUUAAACUACAACACAAAUAUUUAAUUUCCACAGAACAAUACACACUGUUUUUUUUAUUGUACUUGUGUUUAAAUUGCUUUGAAACAUUUCAAGUUUACAAAUGUUGCCAUAAUCAGACUUGGUGUCAAACCUUAAGAUAACAAUGAUGGUUCAGUUCUUGCCAUGUUUUAUUGCACUGUAAUGUAGAACCACAUGAAAAUUCAAAAUGUAACAUUUUUAUUUGAAUGAAAUUUCUUUAAUUAUCUUUGGUUACAAACAUAGUAGGAGACCUAAAUAUUUGGGUUUUUUUUUUAACUUGAUGCUUUAAUUUUCAAUACAUAUUGAAUAUUCUUUGAUCAAAGACAACUUCCCUGAGUAUACUUAUGCAUUAUGAAAGUUUGAUUUUAGUAGUGUAUGUCGUGGCAUAGAGCAAAUGGAAUUGCAAUUUUUAACAAUGGUUCUUUCUAUCACAAAGAUCAUGUCAUAUAGUGUGUUAAAUAAAGAGAAAUUCAAUAUUGACAAAACUGGAUUAUAAACACUGUAAUUAAACUUGACACCAAUUAUAGAGCAUGCUGCAGAUCUGUGUAUUGGAUAGAAAUGACUUUGUGGUUACUGAUUAUAAUCAUUCGAAUUUUUUUGUGGAUAUCAUUUUAAAGAGAUUGAUAUAUGAUAUGUGAACUAUCUUAGCUUACUAAAAUUGGCUAUUAUAGUAUAAUAUUUAGUGCCACUGUUUUAUACACAUUAUUGUUAGUAUUUAACUUCAUUCUUUCACUUUGUCAACAGCAAAUGUGAAAAUGUUUUGCAAAAAGACUUUGUCUUCUUCUUGUUUAUAAAAAAUUACUGGGAGUUGUUAAAAUUUUACAUUAUGAAGAUUAAAUAAAAUUGUCUUUCAUGAUAA
Ostrea edulis (European flat oyster) is the source of this 3825-nucleotide RNA transcript. It is a transcript of the gene named ubiquitin-conjugating enzyme E2 W-like, with no coding region annotated. Lineage: Eukaryota; Metazoa; Mollusca; Bivalvia; Ostreida; Ostreidae. The transcript is spliced from 8 exons. The record is from RefSeq and is a predicted model, not a curated record.